This is a non-coding RNA of Podarcis lilfordi (Lilford's wall lizard), 74 nucleotides long. The record is from the annotation of a GenBank genome assembly. NCBI's taxonomy places the organism in Eukaryota, Metazoa, Chordata, Lepidosauria, Squamata, Lacertidae.
ACCUGUAGUACAAUGGUAGAAUGUCUUCCUUUUAUGUAGAAGUUCCCAGGCUCAAUCCCUGGUAUCUUCAGGUA